This 73-nucleotide transfer RNA is filed under the name Methanomassiliicoccales archaeon. Its description in RNAcentral is "tRNA-Val". It matches the Rfam family "tRNA". From Rfam's summary of the family: Transfer RNA (tRNA) molecules are approximately 80 nucleotides in length. The record is from RNAcentral. RNAcentral also lists the same sequence under 1 other name. Lineage: Archaea; Methanobacteriati; Thermoplasmatota; Thermoplasmata; Methanomassiliicoccales.
GGGCUCAUGGUCUAGUGGUUAUGACGUCGCCCUGACACGGCGAAGUUCCCCGGUUCGAAUCCGGGUGAGCCCA